GACGAACGCUGGCGGCGUGCUUAACACAUGCAAGUCGAACGGAAAGGCCCUGCUUUUGUGGGGUGCUCGAGUGGCGAACGGGUGAGUAACACGUGAGUAACCUGCCCUUGACUUUGGGAUAACUUCAGGAAACUGGGGCUAUUACCGGAUAUGAGCUCCUGCUGCAUGGUGGGCGUUGGAAAGUUUCGGCGGUUGGGGAUGGUCUCGCGGCUUAUCAGCUUGUUGGUGGGGUAGUGGCUUACCAAGGCUUUGACGGGUAGCCGGCCUGAGAGGGCGACCGGCCACAUUGGGACUGAGAUACGGCCCAGACUCCUACGGGAGGCAGCAGUGGGGAAUAUUGCACAAUGGGCGGAAGCCUGAUGCAGAAACGCCGCGUGCGGGAUGACGGCCUUCGGGUUGUAAACCGAUUUCGCCUGUGACGAAGCGUGAGUGACGGUAAUGGGUAAAGAAGCACCGGCUAACUACGUG
Molecule: ribosomal RNA, 468 nt
Filed under: uncultured bacterium
Lineage: Bacteria
Description: partial 16S ribosomal RNA
Rfam family: Bacterial small subunit ribosomal RNA
Source: RNAcentral